This 184-nucleotide ribosomal RNA is filed under the name Paenibacillus sp. CF095. RNAcentral describes it as "partial 16S rRNA. Bacterial SSU". It matches the Rfam family "Bacterial small subunit ribosomal RNA", at positions 1 to 175 of the family's 1533-position model. Lineage: Bacteria; Bacillati; Bacillota; Bacilli; Caryophanales; Paenibacillaceae. The record is from RNAcentral.
CUUUAUUGGAGAGUUUGAUCCUGGCUCAGGACGAACGCUGGCGGCAUGCCUAAUACAUGCAAGUCGAGCGGACUUGAUGGGAAGCUUGCUUCUCUGAUGGUUAGCGGCGGACGGGUGAGUAACACGUAGGCAACCUGCCCUCAAGUUUGGGACAACUACCGGAAACGGUAGCUAAUACCGAAUA